Molecule: transfer RNA, 74 nt
Filed under: Gnetum montanum
Lineage: Eukaryota; Viridiplantae; Streptophyta; Gnetopsida; Gnetales; Gnetaceae
Also listed under: 5 other names
Description: tRNA-Asn
Rfam family: tRNA
About the family: Transfer RNA (tRNA) molecules are approximately 80 nucleotides in length. Their secondary structure includes four short double-helical elements and three loops (D, anti-codon, and T loops). Further hydrogen bonds mediate the characteristic L-shaped molecular structure. tRNAs have two regions of fundamental functional importance: the anti-codon, which is responsible for specific mRNA codon recognition, and the 3' end, to which the tRNAs corresponding amino acid is attached (by aminoacyl-tRNA synthetases). tRNAs cope with the degeneracy of the genetic code in two manners: having more than one tRNA (with a specific anti-codon) for a particular amino acid; and 'wobble' base-pairing, i.e. permitting non-standard base-pairing at the 3rd anti-codon position.
Source: RNAcentral
CCCCAAUAGCUCAGCGGUAGAGCGGUCGGCUGUUAACCGAUUUUAGUCGUAGGUUCAAAUCCUACUUGGGGAGA